This 253-nucleotide ribosomal RNA is filed under the name uncultured bacterium. RNAcentral's name for it is "partial 16S ribosomal RNA". It matches the Rfam family "Bacterial small subunit ribosomal RNA", at positions 524 to 776 of the family's 1533-position model. The record is from RNAcentral.
UACGUAGGGUACAAGCGUUGUCCGGAAUUAUUGGGCCUAAAGCAUCCGUAGCCGGCCUUACAAGUCCUCCGUUAAAUCCAGCUGCUUAACAGAUGGGCUGCGGAGGAUACUAUAAGACUAGGAGGCAGGAGAGGCAAGCGGUACUCAGUGGGUAGGGGUAAAAUCCGUUGAUCCAUUGAAGACCACCAGUGGCGAAGGCGGCUUGCCAGAAUGCGCUCGACGGUGAGGGAUGAAAGCUGGGGGAGCAAACCGG